RNAcentral lists this ribosomal RNA (413 nucleotides) under uncultured microorganism. RNAcentral describes it as "bacterial SSU rRNA". It matches the Rfam family "Archaeal small subunit ribosomal RNA", at positions 459 to 871 of the family's 1478-position model. The record is from RNAcentral.
CAGCAGCCGCGGUAAUACCGGCGGCCCGAGUGGCGGCUACUAUUAUUGGGCCUAAAGCGUCCGUAGCCGGGCUGGGAAGUCCUCCGGGAAAUCUGGUCGCUUAACGAUCCGACUUCCGGAGGAUACUGCUGGCCUAGGGACCGGGAGAGGCCGAGGGGAUUCCCGGGGUAGGGGGGAAAUCCUAUAAUCCCGGGAGGACCACCUGUGGCGGAGGCGCUCGGCUGGAACGCGUCCGACGGUGAGGGACGAAGGCCAGGGGACCAAACCGGAUGAGAUACCCGGGUAGUCCUGGCUGUAAACGAUGCGGACUUUGUGUCGGACAAGCUAUGAGCUUGUCCGGUGCCGGAGGGAAACCGUUAAGUCCGCCGCCUGGGGAGUACGGCCGCAAGGCUGAAACUUAAAGGAAUUGGCGG